GAUGAACGCUAGCGGCAGGCCUAACACAUGCAAGUCGAGGGAGAGGUUACCUUCGGGUAACCAAAACCGGCGCACGGGUGCGUAACGCGUAUACAAUCUGCCUUUCACAUAGGGAUAGCCCGAAGAAAUUUGGAUUAAUACCUAAUGGUAUAUAAGAGCGGCAUCGUUUUUAUAUUAAAGCUACGGUGGUGAAAGAUGAGUAUGCGUUCUAUUAGCUAGUUGGAGAGGUAACGGCUCCCCAAGGCGACGAUAGAUAGGGGUUCUGAGAGGGAUGUCCCCCACACUGGUACUGAGAUACGGACCAGACUCCUACGGGAGGCAGCAGUGAGGAAUAUUGGACAAUGGUCGGAAGACUGAUCCAGCCAUGCCGCGUGCAGGAUGAAGGUCCUAUGGAUUGUAAACUGCUUUUGUAAGGGAAGAAUAAGGAGUACGUGUACUUUGAUGACGGUACCUUACGAAUAAGCAUCGGCCAACUCCGUG
RNAcentral lists this ribosomal RNA (480 nucleotides) under uncultured bacterium. Its description in RNAcentral is "partial 16S ribosomal RNA". It matches the Rfam family "Bacterial small subunit ribosomal RNA", at positions 28 to 507 of the family's 1533-position model. The record is from RNAcentral.